This 1245-nucleotide ribosomal RNA is filed under the name uncultured bacterium. RNAcentral describes it as "bacterial SSU rRNA". It matches the Rfam family "Bacterial small subunit ribosomal RNA", at positions 16 to 1181 of the family's 1533-position model. The record is from RNAcentral.
AUCCUGGGCUCAGGACAAACGCUGGGCGGCGUGCUUAACACAUGCAAGUCGAACGGUGCUCCUACGGGGGCAUAGUGGCGGACGGGUGAGUAACACGUAGAUAACCUGCCCUGAAGUGGGGAAUAACAUCUCGAAAGAGAUGCUAAUACCGCAUGAGUUCUUUCCCGUUGGGGGUAGAACAAACUUCUUUGUGUGAUGCAAUGGAGGCUUUAGGAGGGGUCUGCGGCGGAUUAGCUAGUUGGGUGGGUAAAAGCUGCCCAAGGCGACGAUCCGUAGCUGGUCUGAGAGGACGGCCAGCCACACUGGGACUGAGACACGGCCCAGACUCCUACGGGAGGCAGCAGUGAGGAAUAUUCCACAAUGGGCGAAAGCCUGAUGGAGCGACGCCGCGUGAGGGAAGAAGCCUUUCGGGGUGUAAACCUCUUUUUUGAGGGAUGACACGCUUGGGUGCUGGGUAUUGGGUGUUAGGUGUUGGGUGUUAGGUGUUGGGUGCAGAUUGCACCGAGCACCGAGCGACCAGCACCCAGCGUCCAGCACCCAGCACCUAAGCUAAGACAGUACCUCAAGAAUAAGCCUCGGCUAACUACGUGCCAGCAGCCGCGGUAAUACGUAGGAGGCGAGCGUUGUCCGGAUUUACUGGGCGUAAAGGGCGCGCAGGCGGCACCCUAAGUAAGAUGUGAAAUCUCCCUGCUCAACGGGGAGGGUGCAUCUUAGACUGGGGAGCUAGAGGACGGUAGAGGGGGGUAGAAUUGCUGGUGUAGCGGUGAAAUGCGUAGAGAUCAGCAGGAAUACCCGUGGCGAAGGCGGCCCCCUGGGCCGAACCUGACGCUGAGGCGCGAAGGCUAGGGGAGCGAACGGGAUUAGAUACCCCGGUAGUCCUAGCAGUAAACGAUGGCCACUAGGUGUGGGGGGUGUUGACCCCUUCCGUGCCGAAGCUAACGCAUUAAGUGGCCCGCCUGGGGAGUACGGUCGCAAGACUAAAACUCAAAGGAAUUGACGGGGCCCCGCACAAGCAGCGGAGCGUGUGGUUUAAUUCGAUGCAACGCGAAGAACCUUACCUGGGCUUGACAUGUAUUCGCAAUCCCAAGAAAUUGGGACCUCUUCGGACGGAUACACAGAUGUUGCAUGGCUGUCGUCAGCUCGUGUCGUGAGAUGUUGGGUUAAGUCCCGCAGCGAGCGCAACCCUUGUCUUUAGUUGACAAUCUAGAGAGACUGCCGGAAACAAACCGGAGGAAGGUGGGGAUG